Molecule: ribosomal RNA, 428 nt
Filed under: uncultured bacterium
Lineage: Bacteria
Description: partial 16S ribosomal RNA
Rfam family: Bacterial small subunit ribosomal RNA
Source: RNAcentral
GUGGGGAAUAUUGGGCAAUGGGCGAAAGCCUGACCCAGCGACGCCGCGUGGGGGAAGAAGUCCCUCGGGAUGGAAACCCUUGUUGUACGGGACGAAGGAAGUGCCGGUACCGUACGAGGAAGCCCCGGCAAACUACGUGCCAGCAGCCGCGGUAAUACGUAGGGGGCGAGCGUUGUCCGGAAUCACUGGGCGUAAAGCGCACGUAGGCGGGCUGUUAAGUCGGCCGUGAAAGGCACUGGCUCAACCGGUGUUUGUCGGUCGAUACUGGCAGUCUGGAGUAUGGGAGAGGGAACUGGAAUUCCGGGUGUAGCGGUGAAAUGCGUAGAUAUCGGGAGGAACACCAGUGGCGAAGGCGGGUUCCUGGCCCAUGACUGACGCUGAGGUGCGAAAGCCGGGGGAGCGAACGGGAUUAGAUACCCGGGUAGUCC